RNAcentral lists this ribosomal RNA (468 nucleotides) under uncultured bacterium. RNAcentral's name for it is "bacterial SSU rRNA". It matches the Rfam family "Bacterial small subunit ribosomal RNA", at positions 337 to 796 of the family's 1533-position model. The record is from RNAcentral.
UCCUACGGGGCGCAGCAGUGGGGAAUAUUGGGCAAUGGGCGCAAGCCUGACCCAGCGACGCCGCGUGGGUGAUGAAGGCCUUCGGGUCGUAAAGCCCUGUCGGGUGGAAAGAAUGGUGGCUCGGCAAAUAGCCUUGUCACGUGACGGUACCACCGAAGGAAGCACCGGCCAAUUCCGUGCCAGCAGCCGCGGUAAGACGGAAGGUGCAAGCGUUGCUCGGAAUCACUGGGCGUAAAGGGUGCGUAGGCGGCUUCUUAAGUCUGACGUGAAAGCCCAAGGCUUAGCCUUGGAAGUGCGCCAGAAACUGGGAAGCUAGAGUGCCGGAGGGGAGAGUGGAAUUCCUGGUGUAGCGGUGAAAUGCGUAGAUAUCAGGAGGAAUACCGGUGGCGAAAGCGACUCUCUGGACGGCAACUGACGCUGAGGCACGAAAGCGUGGGGAGCAAACAGGAUUAGAUACCCGAGUAGUCU